RNAcentral lists this ribosomal RNA (497 nucleotides) under uncultured bacterium. RNAcentral describes it as "partial 16S ribosomal RNA". It matches the Rfam family "Bacterial small subunit ribosomal RNA", at positions 28 to 507 of the family's 1533-position model. The record is from RNAcentral.
GACGAACGCUGGCGGCGUGCCUAAUACAUGCAAGUUGAGCGCUGAAGGUUGGUACUUGUACCAAAUGGAUGAGCAGCGAACGGGCGAGUAACGCGUGGGGAAUCUGCCUUUGAGCGGGGGACAACAUUUGGAAACGAAUGCUAAUACCGCAUAAAAACUUUAAACACAAUUUUUAAGUUUGAAAGAUGCAAUUGCAUCGCUCAAAGAUGAUCCCGCGUUGUAUUAGCUAGUUGGUGAGGUAAAGGCUCACCAAGGCGAUGAUACAUAGCCGACCUGAGAGGGUGAUCGGCCACAUUGGGACUGAGACACGGCCCAAACUCCUACGGGAGGCAGCAGUAGGGAAUCUUCGGCAAUGGACGAAAGUCUGACCGAGCAACGCCGCGUGAGUGAAGAAGGUUUUCGGAUCGUAAAACUCUGUUGGUAGGGAAGAACGUUGGUGAGAGUGGAAAGCUCAUCAAGUGACGGUAACUACCCAGAAAGGGACGGCUAACUACGUG